Molecule: ribosomal RNA, 253 nt
Filed under: uncultured bacterium
Lineage: Bacteria
Description: partial 16S ribosomal RNA
Rfam family: Bacterial small subunit ribosomal RNA
Source: RNAcentral
UACAGAGGUCCCAAGCGUUGUUCGGAUUCACUGGGCGUAAAGGGUGCGUAGGUGGCCAUGUAAGUCGGAUGUGAAAGCUCGGAGCUCAACUCCGAAAUGGCAUUGGAAACUGCCUGGCUCGAGGGUUGGAGGGGGGACUGGAAUACUUGGUGUAGCAGUGAAAUGCGUAGAUAUCAAGUGGAACACCAGUGGCGAAGGCGAGUCCCUAGACAACUCCUGACACUGAGGCACGAAAGCUAGGGGAGCAAACAGG